Molecule: long non-coding RNA, 1272 nt
Filed under: Equus caballus (horse)
Lineage: Eukaryota; Metazoa; Chordata; Mammalia; Perissodactyla; Equidae
Description: lncRNA (ENSECAG00000044171.1)
Source: RNAcentral
GAUUUCCCCCAAGGCAGAAGUGGGAGAGGGCUGCAUGAGGGCAGGGGCGGGGGUGGCAAUGAGCAAAGUCUGUACUCGGAGCUCAGCAGGGAGGAGCUGCUGCCCCAUCCUCUGCCCCAUCCUGUGACCUGUGAUCCGUCAGACCCGUUGGUCGUGCCAUGGGGAUGCCAGCAAGCGCUUGGCAGCUGCACGCGGUGUGGCAGAGAGUGUCUGUGUGAUUGUGAUGCCUUCCUAGGAGAACUUGGCCCCCAGAGGCAAGGCUGUCACUAAAAUCCCUCAGGAGAGAAUAAACGUUUUGCUUCGGCACAAGACAAAUUACACGUGGAGUAAACCAAGGACUCAACUCUGUUUUCAUGACUGGUUUUUUGAACAAUAAUCCAUAGAGGCGGGAGAGGAAGGGAUUCAUGCAGCAAAUGAAACAAAGUCCCUGAUGUCUAUUUCUAUUCUGAUAGCACCUCCUGGAAUAUCGGCAACAUUUUAAGUUCCAGCCUAAGCCAUGAAUUCCUUCAGAACAAAUCAAAUGUCUUUAAAGAAUAUUUCUGUUUGAAAAGGAAUUAAGCCCUCCUGAAAGAAUUUUAAAGGCACCUUCUUUCCCUGAAAACAGCAAUAAAAUUUCAUUCGACCUUCUAAAUUUCAUUCUCAAGCCCCAGCAAGGAGCGGGCAGGUAGCUUCGUGAGCGGAUCCAUGGGACACAGGACGUCUUCCUUCGUUUCAGACUCGGCUUCCCCGCGGCCAGAGCCCAGCAGUCAAGCCAGUCAUUUCCAGGCGAAGCAGGACCUACCCUGGGGGCUCACACCCUACAAAUCCCUGAAUCCUCCAUCAUCCCUCCUCCCAGCCUCCUAGUGGGCCGCUCCAAUUUAGGAGGAUUGUAUUGUCUGGAAAUCAACCUGAUCUUAUCUGUAGCCUUUUGUCAAGAGGAAAUUUUUGUUGCCUGUUUUGCUCAGAGGUUGAAACUUGUAGUAUAUUAACUAAUUGCUUGCAUCACUAACACAUGUUCUCUUGUUGGUGUCAUUCAUUUAUACUGUAACAUUUUUGACAUUUUUAGAUUGUCUCUUGGGACUCCUGGGCCUCUUAGCAGUUCCCUCUAUGAAGAGUGUUUGCCUAAUGAUUACUGACUGACAUCUCAAUAACGAGCAGUAGGAGUUGGGUGCAUCUAUUGAAGAGUUCGGGGGGGGGGGGUGUAUGUGUGUGUGUGUUUUAAUUCAUGGUCCACUUUGUCAAGUCAUGUGUGAGCCAUAAUUUAAGCUAAUAAUUACCAGACAUGAAUUCAAU